GGUGAUGUAGCUCAGCUGGUAGAGCGUCGGACUGAAAAUCCGUGUGUCGGUGGUUCGAGCCCACUCAUCACCA
Molecule: transfer RNA, 73 nt
Filed under: Bernardetia litoralis DSM 6794
Lineage: Bacteria; Pseudomonadati; Bacteroidota; Cytophagia; Cytophagales; Bernardetiaceae
Also listed under: 5 other names
Description: tRNA-Phe (GAA) (tRNA-Phe-GAA-1-1)
Rfam family: tRNA
About the family: Transfer RNA (tRNA) molecules are approximately 80 nucleotides in length. Their secondary structure includes four short double-helical elements and three loops (D, anti-codon, and T loops). Further hydrogen bonds mediate the characteristic L-shaped molecular structure. tRNAs have two regions of fundamental functional importance: the anti-codon, which is responsible for specific mRNA codon recognition, and the 3' end, to which the tRNAs corresponding amino acid is attached (by aminoacyl-tRNA synthetases). tRNAs cope with the degeneracy of the genetic code in two manners: having more than one tRNA (with a specific anti-codon) for a particular amino acid; and 'wobble' base-pairing, i.e. permitting non-standard base-pairing at the 3rd anti-codon position.
Source: Rfam by way of RNAcentral